This 2430-nucleotide long non-coding RNA is filed under the name Brassica napus (rape). Its description in RNAcentral is "long non-coding RNA (BNAP_LNC024608)". Lineage: Eukaryota; Viridiplantae; Streptophyta; Magnoliopsida; Brassicales; Brassicaceae. The record is from RNAcentral.
CAAACUUUGACACCAUUGCUUAUAAAACUCAACCCUGAACCCUGAAUCGGUUGAAGACCUAUCCAGCCGUGACCUAAGAGAACAUAAAAAUAGAAUACGAAACCUACAUGUAAAAUCUUACGCCAACAAUACUACAUCCAAAAACUACAUUAAUCCAAAAAAAAGAAAACCAAAACAUUACAAAGUACUGCACCGUUGCUUCCAAACUUAACCAUGAAGAAUAAGUCAAAAAGACCAAUCACAGCCGCGACCAAAGAGAACAUUAAGAUACAAAAAGCUGCGGAAGCAAUUAACAUUACGCUACACUACUACAACAACAACAUGGCCAGCGAGAGAGAGAGAGAGUGAGGAGCCUUACUUCUCCAUUCAGAAACCUUUCUGAUUCAAUCAACAACAAUUACUUUCCGAGGCUUUCCAAGUCUCGGUUUUGUUGAUGCCUUCUGCUUACUCUGCUUCACAUUCUUUCUUCUUUUGGUUCCAUUCAUAUGCCAGUCAUCGUCAUCAUCAUCAUCUUCUUCUUCCUCACUAGGAUCAGAAUCUAUGUAGUCAUCAUCAUCUUCGUCUUCAUUAUAAUAUACCUUCCGAGAGGCUUUUUUAGGUGCUGUUCUUGGUAUAUCGUAGACUGGGAAUCCUCUUGGUAAGUCGGGGAUCUUAACCGUCUCUGCGAAUCCUAUUGGAUAGAAACCCCAACAGCAAUAGUAAGUAUCUUCUUCAGUAACUGGUGGUGGAGAUGGAACUUUCACCGCCUGGAAAGCUCUCCUACAGCUCUUAGUUUGACAUUUAAGCACGCUUUCCUCGUACAUGUUGGGAUACUCGAAAAGCACGAAGCAGUAUGGACAAGUCGUCCAGAAACUUGGAACCUUCGGGAUAGAAUCUGAACUCGGAGUCUGUUCAGUAUGUUGGGAUUGGUUAGGGACCCCCGUUGGCUGAGGAGGAGAUGGAUUAGUAGAGGCCACUGGAACUGGAGAGGGAGUAGUGGAGACAGCUGGAACCGAAGGUGGAGUAGUAGAGACCGGAGGUUGCUGGAAUGAUUGAGUUGAAUUGAAGAUAGGAGGAUUAAAAAAAUAUAGAUUAGUUAUUUAGUUCCAUAAUUUUAGGUUAGUGUAUAUAUUUAAUAAUAAUUAAGUUAGACAUAAAUAUAAAUAAUUAAAAAGGUAGUUAAGUGUAAUAGUCCAACUUAGACUAUUUGUAAAUAGAUAACUUAGACUAUUUGUAAAUAGAUAGAACCUAAAUUAAUAUAUUAGAUUCUCAAAACUGAAACUAUAAUGCAUCAAAUUGGUAUAGCAGAGACAUCAAAACACAACAAACUUUGACACCAUUGCUUAUCGGUUGAAGACCUAUCCAGCCGUUACCUAAGAGAACAUAAAAAUAGAAUACGAAACCUACAUGGAAAAUCUUACGCCAACAAUACUACAUCCAAAAACUACAUUAAUCCAAAAAAAGAGAACCAAAACAUUACAAAUUACUGCACCGUUGCUUCCAAACUUAACCAUGAUGAAUAAGUCAAAAAGACCAAUCACAGCCGCGACCAAAGAGAACAUUAAGAUACAAAAAGCUGCGGAAGCAAUUAACAUUACGCUACACUACUACAACAACAACAUGGCCAGCGAGAGAGAGAGUGGGGAGCCUUACUUCUCCAUUCAGAAACCUUUCUGAUUCAAUCAACAACAAUUACUUUCCGAGGCUUUCCAAGUCUCGGUUUUGUUGAUGCUUUUUGCUUACUCUGCUUCACAUUCUUUCUUCUUUUGGUUCCAUUCAUAUGCCAGUCAUCAUCAUCAUCAUCAUCGUCCUCACUAGGAUCAGAAUCUAUGUACUCAUCAUCGUCUUCGUCUUCAUUAUAAUAUACCUUCCGAGAGGCUUUUUUAGGUGCUGUUCUCGGUAUAUCAUAGACUGGGAAUCCUCUUGGUAAGUCGGGGAUCUUAGCCGUCUCUGCGAAUCCUAUUGGAUAGAAACCCCAACAGCAAUAGUAAGUAUCUUCUUCAGCAACUGGUGGUGGAGAUGGAACUUUCACCGCCUGGAAAGCUCUCCUACAGCUCUUAGUUUGACAUUUAAGCACGCUUUCCUCGUACAUGUCGGGAUACUCGAAAAGCACGAAGCAGUAAGGACAAGUCGUCCAGAAACUUGGAACCUUCGGGUGAGAAUCUGAACUUGGAGUCUGUUCAGUAUGUUGGGUUUGGUUAGUGACCCCCGUAGGCUGAGGAGGAGAAGGAUUAGUAGAGGCCACUGGAAUUGGAGAGGGAGUAGUGGAGACAGCUGGAACCGGAGGUGGAGUAGUAGAGACCGGAGGUUGAUGGAAUGAUUGAGUUGAACUGAAGAUAGGAGACAGUGUAGAGGGCCCACCAGAGGCUUCAGGUGGCUGUGAUUGAAAUGCCUGUUGUGGCGGCUGAGUCACCAUCAUUGGCUUAGACGUUGAAGGCUGCUGAGAUACCG